This is a non-coding RNA of Anas platyrhynchos (mallard), 870 nucleotides long. The record is from RefSeq and is a predicted model, not a curated record. NCBI's taxonomy places the organism in Eukaryota, Metazoa, Chordata, Aves, Anseriformes, Anatidae.
UUUUCCUGACAGAAUGACUGACAGAAAUACGACCCUUGUGCACCUUUCCUAGUUAAUUCAUUAGGUCAACUCUAACCACUAAGCCCCUUGUCAGGUUAUUUCUAUUAGUGAUAAGGAGCAAUUGAUCUUAAAAGACUGAAGCCAGGUAGAGGAGCCUAUUCCACAAGGUCUCUUGGCUCCACCCUUGUGAAGUGAAAUCUGCCAGGUGUGGGUCAUUUGACCUUUGCUAUAUAGGAAGCUUGAGGAGCUGUGGGGAAUUGCCUUCCUGGGGGAGUCUGAGGCUCAGGUUGUUGAGGGUGCUUUUCUGCUGUUGUGGGGAAGUGGGCUUAGUGUUCCCCUGUGGGCUGUUUUUUCUUCGUGUUUUCUGCCAUCUAUGUGAAAUAGUUUUAGUGACUCUAUGAGCUAGCUAUGUUGGCGGUGCCUUCUCAGUACAGUAGAACCCUGGUGGUGCGACUUCCCUGUGAAGCAGUGUGGAAGUGACUCUGGUUCAGAAGCUGGCAGAGAGCUGCUCCAUGAGGCAGGAAGUGAACCCUAAGCCCAUGCCUCCCCCAAAGCUGUGGAAGACCAGAAACCUCUUGGAGCCUGCUGCACUGGUCAGCCAUUUCACAAGCCCUAUCAACAACUGAGUCCCCAUCUCCUUCCCAGUGGUGUAGUAGCCCUGAACACAGCUGUUGGCAGCAUCUUCUUUGCCAUUGAUGGGCUGCUCCAGGUAGACGAGUGGGCAGUACAUCCCAGUCCAGGCCUCAGCAAUGGUGGUGGGCUCCAGGCCAACAAGCAUUGCUCUGGGCACAUGUUUCCCUGAGUCUGUCUCACUAAAGAAGGUCCCAAAGGAAGAAUCUGUUUGCCCUGAGGAUGCCUUGGAGGAAACAA